RNAcentral lists this ribosomal RNA (325 nucleotides) under uncultured eukaryote. Its description in RNAcentral is "partial 18S ribosomal RNA". It matches the Rfam family "Eukaryotic small subunit ribosomal RNA", at positions 1470 to 1796 of the family's 1831-position model. The record is from RNAcentral.
CCCUUAGAUGUUCUGGGCCGCACGCGCGCUACACUGAUGCAUUCAACGAGCCUAUCCUUGACCGACAGGUCCGGGUAAUCUUUGAAUCUGCAUCGUGACGGGGAUAGAUUAUUGCAAUUAUUAAUCUUCAACGAGGAAUGCCUAGUAGGCGCAAGUCAUCAGCUUGCGUCGAUUACGUCCCUGCCCUUUGUACACACCGCCCGUCGCUACUACUGAUUGGAUGUUUAAGCGAGGUUCUCGAACUGCUAGCGACUUAGCUUCGGUGAGGUCGCAGUGUGGGAAGUGAACCUAGCUUUGGUGUCUAGAGGAAGUAAAAGUCGUAACA